GACGGGACCCGCACAAGCAGCGGAGCAUGUGGUUUAAUUCGAAGCAACGCGAAGAACCUUACCAGAUCUUGACAUCCAAUUGACCAUCUUUUAAUCGAGAUUUUGCCUUCGGGUACAAUUGAGACAGGUGGUGCAUGGUUGUCGUCAGCUCGUGUCGUGAGAUGUUGGGUUAAGUCCCGCAACGAGCGCAACCCUUGUGUUUAGUUGCAAACAGGUCAAGCUGUGCACUCUAGACAGACUGCCGUGGACAACACGGAGGAAGGUGGGGAUGACGUCAAAUCAUCAUGCCUCUUAUGAUCUGGGCUACACACGUGCUACAAUGGCCGGUACAACGGGCAGCGAAGGAGCGAUCCGGAGCGAAUCCUAAAAAGCCGGUCCCAGUUCGGAUUGCAGGCUGAAACUCGCCUACAUGAAGUUGGAGUUGCUAGUAAUCGCGAAUCAGAAUGUCGCGGUGAAUGCGUUCCCGGGUCUU
This 472-nucleotide ribosomal RNA is filed under the name uncultured Fusibacter sp. Its description in RNAcentral is "bacterial SSU rRNA". It matches the Rfam family "Bacterial small subunit ribosomal RNA", at positions 916 to 1381 of the family's 1533-position model. The record is from RNAcentral. Lineage: Bacteria; Bacillati; Bacillota; Clostridia; Eubacteriales; Fusibacteraceae.